CCCCGCGGCAGCCUCAGCGGCCGCCCCUCCAAUGUUUAUGCGCGUGUCCGGCGACCUGUGUGAGCAUUGCGAGGGCGGCUCCAGCGACCCGCGCGAGCACUUCGAGAGCUGCUCCGAUGGCCGGCUGCAUAGGAGGCAACCAUGGCUCUGGAGGCCUGCACGUGAGCGAGGUGAGGAAAACUACGACAACCUGAUUCGUGGGAGGUGAGCAAGGCUCCUGACGAGGCGAGGGCAACUACGGCAGCCUGAUUGAUAGAUUAGUGUUAUUAAGAUUUAAGAGGAUCAUUUUUGUUCCUUAUUUUUAUAUUUAAAAUACAUGUUACUUGAUGGCUGCCGGAUUUUAGCAUGGUUGAAUAUGUUCAUGACAAUAUUGUGCUCAAGAAAUGUAUCAAGGAUGUCAUUGCAUUAAUCAAACCAGUAGAUGAUUAGUAGCAAAUGGCUAUCCACAAUUUAGGAGCUGAUAAAUUGUAUCACUCUCUUGCUAUCCACAAUGAAGGUAUAAUUUAAAGUUCCAUCUAGAACCCUGAUAGUUAAGGUGCAUUGGUAUCAACUUUGAGCAUACUUUGCCUGCCGUUAAGGUGCACAGCACACUGACAGACAGGAGACUCAAUGAGCUGCUGCAUAAUUCUUGUGAUUUUUUUAAUGCUUUGCUGUGAUUAAAUCUCCAAUUAAUUCAUGCUUUUGUUUUCUUAUAUAUGUGGUCAAGAGCAUAAAGGGGUUGGUGAACGAUGAUAGCCAUGCAUAGGUGGCUCGAGGGACACCGAAAUAUCUUUUUCUUGAACUUAAAACUUCAUGUCUUUUUCUUGAACUUCAGUUCAUUUUGCUGAUGUAUCUGUCUACUUGAUAGUAUAGAUGGCAUUCUUUGAUUCCUUGGCUGCUACUGUUUUUGAAAAUUGACCAGAAUUGUUCUUUCAUUCUUGAAGCAGCGGCAUGAAUUUGUGAAUACAUUUGGUCUACCAUUUAUUCCUUGACUUGAUUCCCUUGUAGGUGCCAACAUGCAAGCACUUCAAUCUCUUACUUAUGAAAUGAAAGGUGGAAGCAAAGCCGUGUUAGCAAUGAAUAAGAUAUGUUGGAAGACACCAUAUUUGUUGUUGGUCAGUAUCAACACAUCCUCUUAAGAAAUUGUUUCUGUUUAAUAAAUUUUUGACUGUCUUCUAAGUGAGCUUCUAUAUUUCAGUGCACACUCAGAAAUAGAACCAAUCAAAGAGGUAAAGGUCAUGAAAGAAUUUCAGAAGCACUCAACUAAGCUGGACAUGGUAAUAAUAUUGAGACCUUGCUGACUUUUUUUACUUCAAAAUUCAAAGCUGGAACUCUUCUGUUGUCGGUGCAUUGCAUUAUAAAAAUAUCCAACUAUGUAUGGGGCUUCAAGUUCAUUCUCUUGUAUGAAUAUGAAAGGUUGAUAUCAGCUCAUAAAUAUUUUUCCGUCAUUUCGCUCCAUUAAAAUCCUUCUCUCAUGUCAAUUCAAAUAAGAACAGUUGCAUUGUCGUAAUGCUUUUUUGCAAGAUCCAAGCAUAUUUUCUGUUUCCAAACGACCAUACCAUUCUAAAUAUGUGUUUCCUUAGAGAUAUGCCUAUUUAGUUUGGUCAGAUUAAUCCACGUUUGGUGCAAAGGUUCUUAUUUUGUUCUUCCAUUCAAAGAUUUAGAAGUAAUGUUGGAUUCAGAAAUUUUACAUAUAUAUCUUAAAAUUCAGAAAAUGUUGAUUUCAAAAUUUAGAAGAUAUAAGAACUUACUCUUGCAUGCAUGUAUGUAAACUAUCCAUGUUUUAGUAACUCCUGGAACCUGGAUGUAAAAAGGAGUGGGGAGCAACUGUAUUUGGUUACUUGAUUAUUGCCAACAAACCCACACUAAUCCUCCAUUUGUUGGUUUAAUCAAUUCUUUGCUUACUUGAAUUCACAAAUCACAAAGGAAAAAAAACGUACUUUUGGGUGUACCUCUCUGGUCUCUGCAGUUCCAUAAGUUUUUGAGAGUCUAAUUGUCCUCAGUUCUGUAGGAGCAUGCGGAGUUUCUGCAUCCAGCAUUGAAAUCUUCGCCACCUGUUACCCAAGCUUCUGUUGAUCCAGGUGAGUCUCGCUGCCAUUACCAUUUGGUUUGAGCCCCUUAAGCCCUUAUAUUUUGUUGAUAAAUGAAUAAUAGUGAAUAGUCAAUUUCAUUUUGUCUCAACCUAAAAUUGCUUGCUCUAUAGAGAAUAGUUCAGCAAAUUGUUCAUCACUGAUAGCAAACUUAGUUUUAUUUAAUGACUGAGCACACCACAAUACAGUUUGUCAAAUUGUUCUUUUGCCUUCGGUUCUGUUUUUGGGCUUCCAUGCUGCA
Molecule: long non-coding RNA, 2310 nt
Filed under: Sorghum bicolor (sorghum)
Lineage: Eukaryota; Viridiplantae; Streptophyta; Magnoliopsida; Poales; Poaceae
Description: long non-coding RNA (SBIC_LNC003040)
Source: RNAcentral